Molecule: long non-coding RNA, 306 nt
Organism: Calliphora vicina (urban bluebottle blowfly)
Lineage: Eukaryota; Metazoa; Arthropoda; Insecta; Diptera; Calliphoridae
Exons: 2
Source: RefSeq, a predicted model, not a curated record
UUAUUAUUUUAGAUAUGGCUAUCAUAGAACCUGCUUGAAACGAUCAAUUUGUGAGUUGUCAAAACAUCCUUUCGAUGAGAGCUUUGCGAAUAUAGUCACAGAUAUGGUAAAAUUCCUUUUAACGCCUUCCAUACACCAAGGUUUUUCACCAAAUGAAAAAUAUGAAGAAACUAUUUAUAGGUUGGCUGAAAAUCAAGGAUUUAUGGGUGAAAAUUGUCAACAACUAUAUCCACAAUGCAUCGACAGUCUAUUUAAUUUUUUAACAAUAACUGAUUUUAUGAAUAUUUAAAUAAACAUACAUACAUA